GUGCACACACAGCUUCUCUCAGGAACCAAGAGUCACUGCCUCCCCUCCUCUCCUUCCCAUCUCAAGGGUGCUGGAAAUAAAUUUGAUGCGUAUCCAGUUCGGUAUAUGGAACUGGUGAGGCCAUUCUUCCUCAAAGAACGUGAAAAAGCAAGCAUAAUCUUGUGAUUACUCUUGGAGAGAGAGGUAGCACUGGGAAAAAAGAUGAUGCAGCAAGAAGCCUCUCACCAGAUGCCAGCACCUUGAUAUUGGACUUCCCAGGCUCCAGAACCACAAAGUAAAUACAGCUCUUCAAGGAACAACCUGCAGUCAUCAGGGACAGGAGCGUCUCCAUGAAGGAAACCUCACAGGCCUUUCUGCUGAAAACCUUGCAACUCCUUGGAGAGGGCAGCCCUGGCAGAAACUCAGACAAAGCAAACCCUACAGGGGAGUGAAUUGAUUAUAAUUUUAGCACAGAUUUCACAGCCCAGGAUCCCCCACUGUUUGUUGCAGGAUAGGAAGUCCAGACUGUUUUUUAUCUGCCUAUUCCCAGGUUAUCAAAAUGAUUCAUUAUGGCCAAUUCCUGAGAGAUUGAUCUAGAAACCAGAAUGCCAAUAUGUGAGUGGAUAAUGUGACCUAGAGCUGAAGAAAUACUGGUAUCUGUUGUACAAUCAAUACUACACUUUCCUAGAAGUCAGGCCUUUUGAAAAAUUUAUUUUUUGGACAACAUUCUUAAUUUUUCUAAAUUCAUCUAUUAUAAUAUGUUCUUAGGUCAUUUCUCCAGGAAUUAAAGGCCCUGAAAUUAUUUGGCAUGUUUCUGUGAUAUAAAGUUACUAUUGGCAAGAUCAAAGACAGUGUUAAUUAAGCACAGGGUUUACUAGUCUCUAUAAAGUUAGUAGACCAUUAGUUGAAAUUGCAGGCUAAUCCAGCCAGUAGAGUAAAAACAAAUAAAAAUUAGUUUAUUGUUGAUGUAAAUUAAAAAAUGUUCUAGUCAAUAUAAAUGUUUAUUCUUUCCCACAAAAAAACCUUUUUUUUCUGAUUCAUGAAAAUGUUUUGAUAGUAAUGAUUUCUUUUUAAAUAAAUCACGUGCACAUAAUCCCAUUGUCUUUCAAAUCAAAUGCAUGGAAUUUUGCUAGCCAUUUACUGUGCAUCAAGAAAUUACUCAGAAAAAAAGGCAGCGGUUUGUUUGAAAAGCUGAGAAUCAUUAACUUUAGUUGCCAUUAUCAAUUAAAAGGGCAACAGUGAUUAGCAGAGAUCUCUUGGUCUUAGCACUAAAUUGAUGGGCCUGGUAAUAUGAAACCUGGUUUUGCUUAACUCUGAGCGUGUAAAUAUCAAUUUCUCUCCAUGAGUUACAUUUCCACUGUGAAAUCUAAAGUUGGAUUUUCAAUGCAGAACUAAUUAAGAUGUUACAGACACCAAGUUAAUUUGAUAUGUCUGAAAGCAUAAAAAGGGAUUAUUUUAAAGGUGGUUCAGUGAACACCCCAAGAUGAUGUAUGUGAGUAUUUCUCCUUGCACAUGUCACAGAGGUGCUACUUUAAGGUACUGGGAAGUUUUUCAAAAGACAC
Molecule: long non-coding RNA, 1541 nt
Filed under: Homo sapiens (human)
Lineage: Eukaryota; Metazoa; Chordata; Mammalia; Primates; Hominidae
Description: novel transcript
Source: RNAcentral